UUAUAGCUCUAUUUGGGGUUCAUACUCCAAACUGCUCAUGCAAAUGGACACACAUUACCACUAUAUCAAAGACAUAACUUUAGUUAAGGGUGUCCAACUUUAAAUAAACAUCCUUUAAAUAUAGAAUUUGACAUAUAUCUACAAAUAAACUAAUCAGCAAAUGCGGCUAUAGCUCCGCCCCUAGUUAAAUCGAUAAUUGAUAACUAAUAAUUCGAUAGUCGAUAAAUUAAUAUCUUAAUGAUAUCUACAAAUCAAUAACGAAUAAAUCAAAUCGAUAAACUUUAAAAUUGAACCGAACCGAUCGAUAUGCAACCUGAUAGUUAGGGUGGAAAUGAGUAAAAUGAGUUAUACUAUUAUUUUAUACUAAAUAAACUAUUAAUAAUAAUACAAGAAUAAAGUUUUUGCUUUUACAAUGCAAAUAAAGUUUUAGCAAUGAGUAUGACAGGGGAAGCCAACAUUGAAGGCAAAGUUGUAGGGUAUUAGAAUAAUGAGGAAAAAUGUAUGUAAGGUUAGAGAGAUAAUGGGAUUAUUAUUUUGACCAUUCUCCUCACUCCUCGCCUAUCUCUCCUCCAUUUGUUCUUUUUUCCCUGAAACCGGACAAAGAAAGACCCUCUUCUCCUCGCUCGACUGGAGAUCGAGCUAGGAGAACGAAAACCAAAAAUUAAUAAAUAAAAUCAAAGAAAAAUGUCCUGCGAAAAGAUUGACGGCCUGGCGAGGUGGUUCGGCACCAGUGUCGCAUCGGCAUUCUUUGCCUCAUUGGAACGAUGUGCUUGUGUCAAUCUCACAACUUAUGCCUCUGAUGAUGAGGAAGAGGAAGAAGCGAAAGAUCGACCUCUUUUUAUGAACAAUUUGCCUUCUCAUGUUGAUCCUUGCCCUAGGAACAACAAUUCUCAUUCCGUUGACAACCUCCCUGUUUAAAUCAUCUGCCCGAUAUCUACUGGACAGCUUACGAUGCAACCUUUCUUUCCGUUUUUUUUCAUAGAACUGGCAUCACCAACUUCGUCAUAUUAAUCCCCUGGCUCCAAACAGAGGAAAUGGAAAUGUAAUUCUGGUAUCAACUGUAAUAUUUUUUUUCCUCUUAUAGACUGAUUUUUCCCUUGAAGUGUUGUAUGAUGUGUUUGUCCGUUGGCAUUUUUGUUACAAGGUCAAACAUUUAAGCACGAAAGACGCCUUUUAUUGUUUCUUUACCUUGACAUUCUUUACCAAGGGGUCUUGCUUGCUCUAGGAAAUAGCAAAUGCCAGUGAGGCUGUUGUACUUUAUGUUUCUGAAGCUAACAGUGUAAAAUUGGCCCUCAUAAGCAUUGGCAACACAAUCUUGUCAAGUUUUCGGGCAUUACAACUUUUAUGUUCCUGGGGUUAUUUUAAAAAUAAAUUUAGCUUUCAUUA
This is a long non-coding RNA of Solanum lycopersicum (tomato), 1386 nucleotides long. RefSeq lists it as uncharacterized. The record is from RefSeq and is a predicted model, not a curated record. Lineage: Eukaryota; Viridiplantae; Streptophyta; Magnoliopsida; Solanales; Solanaceae.